This 174-nucleotide ribosomal RNA is filed under the name uncultured soil bacterium. Its description in RNAcentral is "partial 16S ribosomal RNA". The record is from RNAcentral.
UUUAGCCGGACGCUUAUUCUGUANGGUAACGUCAAAACAAUCACGUAUUAGGUAACUGCCCUUCCUCCCAACUNAAAGUGCUUUACAAUCCGAAGACCUUNUUNACACACGCGGCAUGGCUGGAUCAGGCUUUCGCCCAUUGNCCAAUAUUCCCCACUGCUGCCUCCCGUAGGA